UCUUCCCUCUCUCUUCCUGCCUAAUACAUGCAAGCCGAACGGCAAGUUUGAUAGCAAUAUUGGACCUAGAGUGGCGCAAGGGUGCGUAACACGUAUGCAACCUGCCCGCGACAGGAGGAUAGCUCCCCGAAAGGGGAAUUAACCCUCCAUAACACCAUGAGAAGGCAUCUGAUUAUGGUUAAACCGCAAGGGGUCGCGGAUGGGCAUGCGGUUGAUUAGCUAGUUGGCGGGGUAAAGGCCCACCAAGGCGGUGAUCAAUAGGGGUUCUGAGAGGAAGGUCCCCCACACUGGCACUGAGAGACGGGCCAGACUCCGACGGGAGGCAGCAGUAGGGAAUAUUGGACAAUGGUUGCAAGACUGAUCCAGCCAUGCCGCGUGCAGGAAGAAGGCCUUCUGGGUCGUAAACUGCUUUUUCCUGUGGAUAAAAUACCCGUGCGCGGGGAAUUGAAGGUAACAGGGGAAUAAGCCACGGCUAACUACGUG
RNAcentral lists this ribosomal RNA (483 nucleotides) under uncultured bacterium. Its description in RNAcentral is "partial 16S ribosomal RNA". It matches the Rfam family "Bacterial small subunit ribosomal RNA", at positions 36 to 507 of the family's 1533-position model. The record is from RNAcentral.